RNAcentral lists this ribosomal RNA (1221 nucleotides) under uncultured fungus. Its description in RNAcentral is "eukaryotic LSU rRNA". The stretch from base 588 to 1221 matches the Rfam family "Eukaryotic large subunit ribosomal RNA", at positions 1 to 649 of the family's 3401-position model. Lineage: Eukaryota; Fungi. The record is from RNAcentral.
AAGUCGUAACAAGGUUUCCGUAGGUGAACCUGCGGAAGGAUCAUUACUAGAGCAAAGGAUAGACAGCGCCCGCGGAGCUCGCUCCCGGGGCUACCCUACUCCCGUAGGGUUUAGAGUCGUCGGGCCUCUCGGAGAAGCUCGGUCCUGAACUCCACCCUUGAAUAAACUACCUUUGUUGCUUUGGCGGGCCGCCUCGUGCCAGCGGCUUCGGCUGUUGAGUGCCCGCCAGAGGACCCCAACUCUUGUUUUUAGUGAUGUCUGAGUACUAUAUAAUAGUUAAAACUUUCAACAACGGAUCUCUUGGUUCUGGCAUCGAUGAAGAACGCAGCGAAAUGCGAUAAGUAAUGUGAAUUGCAGAAUUCAGUGAAUCAUCGAAUCUUUGAACGCACAUUGCGCCCUCUGGUAUUCCGGGGGGCAUGCCUGUUCGAGCGUCAUUAUAACCACUCAAGCUCUCGCUUGGUAUUGGGGUUCGCGGUUUCGCGGCCCCUAAAAUCAGUGGCGGUGCCUGUCGGCUCUACGCGUAGUAAUACUCCUCGCGAUUGAGUCCGGUAGGUCUACUUGCCAGCAACCCCUAAUUUUUUUAAGGUUGACCUCGGAUCAGGUAGGGAUACCCGCUGAACUUAAGCAUAUCAAUAAGCGGAGGAAAAGAAACCAACAGGGAUUACCUCAGUAACGGCGAGUGAAGCGGUAACAGCUCAAAUUUGAAAGCUGGCUCUUUUAGGGUCCGCGUUGUAAUUUGUAGAAGAUGCUUCGGGUGUGGCCCCGGUCUAAGUUCCUUGGAACAGGACGUCAUAGAGGGUGAGAAUCCCGUAUGUGACUGGGUGCUUUCGCUCAUGCGAAGCUCUUUCGACGAGUCGAGUUGUUUGGGAAUGCAGCUCAAAAUGGGUGGUAAAUUUCAUCUAAAGCUAAAUAUUGGCCAGAGACCGAUAGCGCACAAGUAGAGUGAUCGAAAGAUGAAAAGCACUUUGGAAAGAGAGUUAAACAGUACGUGAAAUUGUUGAAAGGGAAGCGCUUGCAACCAGACUUGCGCGCUGAUGAUCAUCCGGGCUUUUGCCCGGUGCACUCGUCUGCGCUCAGGCCAGCAUCGGUUUCGGUGGUGGGAUAAAGGCCUUGGGAAUGUGGCUCCUCUCGGGGAGUGUUAUAGCCCUCGGUGCAAUGCCGCCAACCGGGACCGAGGACCGCGCUUCGGCUAGGAUGCUGGCGUAAUGGUUGUAAGCGACC